UUAGUUUUGUCAAAUUCAUUGUUUAUUUUGAUAACCCAUCUUGUAAAGUGUUCAAAUUUUUGUUCAAUUAAUAAUAGUUUUUUUUGUAUGUAUAUUUAUAUCUAAACAAAAUUGGUAUUGAGUUAAAGUUGUCUUGAAUUAAAAAAGGAAAAAUAGAAAGAUAUUCUAAAGUGCCAACUAUAAUUUAAGCAAAACGAGAAUCAUGGGAAUAUAUGUAAGGACUCCAGAUACUAAGAACAGUAAACAUAAUGAUUUGCAAGAUAGAUUAACACAACAAAAGAAUUUAAAUAAUGAAGUUAACAUAGCUGCUUUUGGUUUAAAAGUAUUCUUUGGCGGUAUUGUGUUUGCGGGAGUAAUUGCCGGCAUAUUGUAUGGUGAUACACAAAUAAACGGUGAAGGCGUAUUUGCGAAUUCUACUACUGGAAAAGUACUGAGGAAUGCAGCAUGGUGUAUGGCAAUGCUGUCCUUUCCUUUGAAAAACUAAAAAAAACAAUUUCUAUUUUUUAUUUUUAUUAAAAAAUAAUUUUAUACCUAACACUUAUGCCAAACAAUUUUUUUCUCGUAAAAUAUAUACAUACUUUUUAUCUA
Long non-coding RNA from Episyrphus balteatus (marmalade hoverfly), 588 nucleotides. RefSeq lists it as uncharacterized. Lineage: Eukaryota; Metazoa; Arthropoda; Insecta; Diptera; Syrphidae. The transcript has 3 exons. The record is from RefSeq and is a predicted model, not a curated record.